CACGAUCAAAAAAGGAGUUGGGUGCA
This 26-nucleotide small RNA is filed under the name Bombyx mori (domestic silkworm). Its description in RNAcentral is "ovarian small RNA-13019". Lineage: Eukaryota; Metazoa; Arthropoda; Insecta; Lepidoptera; Bombycidae. The record is from RNAcentral.